Molecule: non-coding RNA, 232 nt
Organism: Pelobates cultripes (western spadefoot toad)
Lineage: Eukaryota; Metazoa; Chordata; Amphibia; Anura; Pelobatidae
Source: the annotation of a GenBank genome assembly
UUUCCUGCUGUAAUAACAAUUUGGCCCUAUCACCCCCUCUUACAGGUACUGGGAUAUGGUCAAUCGCAACACAUCUGAGUGUCGAGAGGUGGUGGUGAUUUUCCAAAAAGUGUCUGGCCACAGGUUUGUCCGACUUGCCAUCUCUGUAGGCAAGCCGGAUACUUGACCUGUGUCCCCUGAUCCUUUCACAGAGUGCGGUUUCAGCUUUUCCGACAUAGUUGAGGCCACAAGG